AGCUCCAAUAGCGUAUAUUAAAGUUGUUGCAGUUAAAAAGCUCGUAGUUGGAUUUCGGGAUGGCCCGGCCGGUCUGCCGCAAGGUAUGUUACUGGCCGAGCUGUUCUUCUUCGCAAAGACUGUGUGUGCUCUUAACUGAGUGUGCUCAGGAUCUGUGACGUUUACUUUGAAAAAAUUAGAGUGUUCAAAGCAAGCCAGCGCUUGAAUACAUAAGCAUGGAAUAAUGGAAUAGGACUUUGGUUCUAUUUUGUUGGUUUCUGGAACCUUAGUAAUGAUUAAGAGAGACAGUUGGGGGCAUUCGUAUUUCGUUGUCAGAGGUGAAAUUCUUGGAUUUACGAAAGACGAACUACUGCGAAAGCAUUUGCCAAGAAUGUUUUCA
Molecule: ribosomal RNA, 379 nt
Filed under: uncultured eukaryote
Lineage: Eukaryota
Description: SSU rRNA
Rfam family: Eukaryotic small subunit ribosomal RNA
Source: RNAcentral